UGGGUAACCCUGACUAAACGUAUGCCACGGAUCCAUCUUCUCGAUCUGCAACCUCCCGCCGCCGCCGUCGUCAGGUUGUUCGAUGCGGGAGGUUGGAGCAGCCUGUCCCUGAUUAAUCAGACGUGGCAGGUAGCAGCAGCCUGUCCCUGAGAGGAGAUGGGACGUGGAGCCAGGAGGAGGAGAAUUCGGAGGAGGAUGUCAAAAUUAAGUAGUGCUUAUUCAAUUCCCUUGACCCUUACAAGGUCAGUGGAUUUCCCUGAAACAUCUCGCAGCUGAUCUGAUGCCGCUCCCAGUGUGAGGCUUCGGCGUUGCACCGGUCUCAGUAGGAUAUAUUCAACCACGGCAUACUGAAUCAACUCAAGACUAGCAAUGAUUUGGUGUUUAAUUCCUGGCUCCCUAUGAUUAAUCAUGAAUGAAGCAAAUAGCCAAAUAAGCACAUGUGAGUACUAUUUGUUUUACCGAUGCUACUGGAACACAUUGUUUUGUUUUAUGAUUCUGCAUCUUCCUUUUGCAUAGGGGUGAUAAAAUUAAAGUUUUUGAGUUGGUGAGACUUC
This is a long non-coding RNA of Brachypodium distachyon (stiff brome), 554 nucleotides long. RefSeq lists it as uncharacterized. The transcript is spliced from 2 exons. Lineage: Eukaryota; Viridiplantae; Streptophyta; Magnoliopsida; Poales; Poaceae. The record is from RefSeq and is a predicted model, not a curated record.